Molecule: ribosomal RNA, 429 nt
Filed under: Bacteroidota bacterium
Lineage: Bacteria; Pseudomonadati; Bacteroidota
Description: Bacteroidetes bacterium partial 16S ribosomal RNA
Rfam family: Bacterial small subunit ribosomal RNA
Source: RNAcentral
UAGGGAAUCUUCGGCAAUGGGGGGAACCCUGACCGAGCAACGCCGCGUGAGUGAAGAAGGUUUUCGGAUCGUAAAGCUCUGUUGUUAAGGAAGAACGAGUGUGAGAAUGGAAAGUUCAUGCUGUGACGGUACUUAAUCAGAAAGGGACGGCUAACUACGUGCCAGCAGCCGCGGUAAUACGUAGUUCCCGAGCGUUGUCCGGAUUUAUUGGGCGUAAAGCGAGCGCAGGCGGUUAGAAAAGUCUGAAGUUAAAGGCAGUGGCUCAACCAUUGUAGGCUUUGGAAACUGUUUAACUUGAGUGCAGAAGGGGAGAGUGGAAUUCCAUGUGUAGCGGUGAAAUGCGAAGAUAUAUGGAGGAACACCGGUGGCGAAAGCGGCUCUCUGGUCUGUGACUGACGCUGAGGCUCGAAAGCGUGGGGGGCGAACAGG